RNAcentral lists this ribosomal RNA (770 nucleotides) under uncultured bacterium. Its description in RNAcentral is "bacterial SSU rRNA". It matches the Rfam family "Bacterial small subunit ribosomal RNA", at positions 555 to 1340 of the family's 1533-position model. The record is from RNAcentral.
UGGGCGUAAAGCGUCUGUAGGCGGCGAAGUAAGUAGAGAGUUAAAUCACGGGGCCCAACCCCGUGGCCGUUCUCUAAACUGCUUUGCUAGAGGUAAACAGGGGUGACUGGAAUUUCUGGUGUAGGGGUAAAAUCCGUUGAUAUCAGAAGGAACGCUAAAAGCGAAGGCAGGUCACUGGGUUUUUCUGACGCUGAGAGACGAAAGCGUGGGUAGCAAACAGGAUUAGAUACCCUGGUAGUCCACGCCGUAAACUAUGAGUACUUGAUGUUAGGGGUAAAUUCCCCUAGUGUCGAAGCUAACGCGUUAAGUACUCCGCCUGAGGACUACGGUCGCAAGACUAAAACUCAAAGGAAUAGACGGGGACCCGCACAAGCGGUGGAGCAUGUUGUUUAAUUCGAUACAACACGAGGAACCUUACCCAGACUUGACAUCCCAAGAAUCUUUCAGAAAUGAGAGAGUGCCGCAAGGAACUUGGUGACAGGCGCUGCAUGGUUGUCGUCAGCUCGUGCUUUGAAGUGUUCGGUUAAGUCCGUAAACGAGCGCAACCCAUGUUCUGUGUUACAUUUGUCACAGAAGACUGCCCUGGUUAACAGGGAGGAAGGUGUGGAUGACGUCAAAUCAGCAUGGCCCUUAUGUCUGGGGCUACUAACAUGCUACAAUGGGGUGUACAAUGCGUAGCCAAGGAGCAAUCCGGAGCCAAUCGCAUCAAAGCACCUCUCAGUUCGGAUUGGGGGCUGCAACUCGACCCCAUGAAGUUGGAAUCGCUAGUA